RNAcentral lists this long non-coding RNA (200 nucleotides) under Amborella trichopoda. RNAcentral's name for it is "long non-coding RNA (ATRI_LNC002935)". Lineage: Eukaryota; Viridiplantae; Streptophyta; Magnoliopsida; Amborellales; Amborellaceae. The record is from RNAcentral.
CAACUUCCAUGCAGCUGGACAAGUGAUGAACACUUAAUCAUGCAUGACAGUACCGCAGCCGGUGCUACGCACAUAGAGAUGCCCCUUGUUCACUUGCGGCGUUGUGUUCUUGCUGUCGUGCGUACACUGCCGCGCCCUCUUCUGCCGCCGCACGCUCACUAUUGCCAUGCACUCACUAUCGCUCCGCGAAAGUCUGGGUC